GACGAACGCUGGCGGCGUGCUUAACACAUGCAAGUCGAACGGAAAGGCCCUGCUUUUGUGGGGUGCUCGAGUGGCGAACGGGUGAGUAACACGUGAGUAACCUGCCCUUGACUUUGGGAUAACUUCAGGAAACUGGGGCUAAUACCGGAUAGGAGCUCCUGCUGCAUGGUGGGGGUUGGAAAGUUUCGGCGGUUGGGGAUGGACUCGCGGCUUAUCAGCUUGUUGGUGGGGUAGUGGCUUACCAAGGCUUUGACGGGUAGCCGGCCUGUGAGGGUGACCGGCCGCAUUGGGACUGAGAUACGGCCCAGACUCCUACGGGAGGCAGCAGUGGGGAAUAUUGCACAAUGGGCGGAAGCCUGAUGCAGCAACGCCGCGUGCGGGAUGACGGCCUUCGGGGUGUAAACCGCUUUCGCCUGUGACGAAGCGUGAGUGACGGUAAUGGGUAAAGAAGCACCGGCUAACUACGUG
Molecule: ribosomal RNA, 468 nt
Filed under: uncultured bacterium
Lineage: Bacteria
Description: partial 16S ribosomal RNA
Rfam family: Bacterial small subunit ribosomal RNA
Source: RNAcentral